RNAcentral lists this ribosomal RNA (479 nucleotides) under uncultured bacterium. Its description in RNAcentral is "bacterial SSU rRNA". It matches the Rfam family "Bacterial small subunit ribosomal RNA", at positions 28 to 507 of the family's 1533-position model. The record is from RNAcentral.
GACGAACGCUGGCGGCGUGCUUAACACAUGCAAGUCGAACGGAACUCUUUGGAUCGAGACUUCGGUCAAGUGAAUCUGAGUUUAGUGGCGGACGGGUGAGUAACGCGUGAGGAACCUGCCUUUCAGAGGGGGACAACAGUUGGAAACGACUGCUAAUACCGCAUAACGCAUAUUGAUCGCAUGGUCUAUAUGCCAAAGAUUUAUCGCUGAAAGAUGGCCUCGCGUCUGAUUAGCUAGUUGGUGAGGUAACGGCCCACCAAGGCGACGAUCAGUAGCCGGACUGAGAGGUUGACCGGCCACAUUGGGACUGAGAUACGGCCCAGACUCCUACGGGAGGCAGCAGUGGGGAAUAUUGGGCAAUGGGCGCAAGCCUGACCCAGCAACGCCGCGUGAAGGAAGAAGGCUUUCGGGUUGUAAACUCUUUUGUCAGGGAAGAGUAGAAGACUGUACCUGGCGAAUAAGCCACGGCUAACUACGUG